This is a non-coding RNA of Aedes aegypti (yellow fever mosquito), 73 nucleotides long. The record is from Rfam. Lineage: Eukaryota; Metazoa; Arthropoda; Insecta; Diptera; Culicidae.
GGGUUGGUGGUCUAAUGGUCAGCGCUUCUGCUUCAUAUGCAGAAGGUCAUUGGUUCAAUCCCAGGCCCGUCCC